This 386-nucleotide ribosomal RNA is filed under the name uncultured archaeon. RNAcentral's name for it is "bacterial SSU rRNA". It matches the Rfam family "Archaeal small subunit ribosomal RNA", at positions 331 to 717 of the family's 1478-position model. The record is from RNAcentral.
UGCAGCAGGCGCGAAACCUUUACACUGCACGACAGUGCGAUAGGGGGACUCCGAGUGCGAGGGCAUACAGUCCUCGCUUUUCUGUACCGUAAGGUGGUACAGGAACAAGUGCUGGGCAAGACCGGUGCCAGCCGCCGCGGUAAUACCGGCAGCACGAGUGAUGGCCGAUAUUAUUGGGCCUAAAGCGUCCGUAGCCGGCCGGACAAGUCCGUCGGGAAAUCCACGCGCUUAACGGGUGGGCGUCCAGCGGAAACUGUUUGGCUUGGGGCCGGAAGACCCGAGGGGUACGUCCGGGGUAGGAGUGAAAUCCCGUAAUCCUGGACGGACCACCGGUGGCGAAAGCGCCUUAAGAAAACGGAUCCGACCGUUAGCUCGCCUCGCCGGCC